AUUGAACGCUGGCGGCGUGCCUAACACAUGCAAGUCGAGCGGCAGCGCGGGAGCAAUCCUGGCGGCGAGCGGCGGACGGGCGAGUAAUGCUUGGGAAUCUGCCUGUUAGUGGGGGGACAACCCGGGGAAACUCGGGCUAAUACCGCAUACGCACUACGGUGGAAAGCCGGGGACCGCAAGGCCUGGCGCUAACAGAUGAGCCCAAGUCGGAUUAGCUAGUUGGUAGGGUAACGGCCACCAGGCGACGAUCCGUAACUGGUCUGAGAGGACGACCAGUCACACCGGAACUGAGACACGGUCCGGACUCCUACGGGAGGCAGCAGUGGGGAAUAUUGGACAAUGGGGGAAACCCUGAUCCAGCGACGCCGCGUGGGUGAAGAAGGCCUGCGGGUUGUAAAGCACUUUCAGU
RNAcentral lists this ribosomal RNA (409 nucleotides) under uncultured bacterium. Its description in RNAcentral is "bacterial SSU rRNA". It matches the Rfam family "Bacterial small subunit ribosomal RNA", at positions 29 to 440 of the family's 1533-position model. The record is from RNAcentral.